GGGCGGGUAGUUUCAUUUGGUUAAAACAUAAGUCUCCAAAACUUAAGUAAUGGGUUCGAACCCCAUCCUGCCUA
RNAcentral lists this transfer RNA (74 nucleotides) under Candidatus Dojkabacteria bacterium CG_4_10_14_0_2_um_filter_Dojkabacteria_WS6_41_15. RNAcentral describes it as "tRNA-Trp". It matches the Rfam family "tRNA". From Rfam's summary of the family: Transfer RNA (tRNA) molecules are approximately 80 nucleotides in length. Their secondary structure includes four short double-helical elements and three loops (D, anti-codon, and T loops). RNAcentral also lists the same sequence under 2 other names. The record is from RNAcentral.